GCACUAACUAGUUCCCAAUGAUUUGCAUGCACUCACUGCACAGCCUUGAGAACUUCUUCAUAUACCAGUCACAUCUUGUUCAGUUGUCAGUGCAGUUAGGACUCAGCACGGAUAUGAGGACUCCUGCUCAGUUCUUCGGGUUUCUUCUGCUCUGGCUUCCAGGUGCCAGAUGCGAUAUCCAGAUGACCCAGUCUCCAUCCUCCCUCUCUGCAUCUCUGGGAGAAAGUGUCACCAUCACUUGCAGGGCAAGUCAGGAUAUUAGCAGGUAUUUAAACUGGUUUCAGCAGAAACCAGGGAAUGCUCCUAAACGCCUGAUCUACGGUACAUCCAACUUGGAGAAUGGUGUUCCAUCCAGGUUCAGUGGCAGUGGUUCUGGCACAGAUUAUUCUCUCACCAUCAGCAGCGUGGAGUAUGAAGAUAUGGCUAUUUAUUACUGUCUACAGUAUGAUAAGUAUCCUCCCACAGUGAUACAUGUCAUAACAUAA
Non-coding RNA from Mesocricetus auratus (golden hamster), 485 nucleotides. The record is from the annotation of a RefSeq genome assembly. Lineage: Eukaryota; Metazoa; Chordata; Mammalia; Rodentia; Cricetidae.